ACAGAAAUAAAUAGGAGGCGUUACUUUUGGAGUGAGCCUUACAGAAAAGUCAGUGGGUAAUAUUCCUGGUAGUCUGAAGCAAUGAUGGGAAAUUGGAUCAAAAGUGGAAGAUUUUGCAUGUUACUGUGGACUGUAAUCCUUUCCUGGCCAAGCCCACGGUUGCUUGACAACUCAGCUCGCACCCUUUUAAUAUCAUUUCAGCUCCCACCGUGAUCCUGAUCCCUGCUAAGCCAGCGGCGAGCUGUCGGGCUCCAUCUACACUUCCUAACUAUCCUGGCUUCUCUUGGAAUUUUUGUUAAUAAAACCAGCUCAUUGAAUGUAAAUCUCCCGGAGCGAGGGCUCACUCAGAUAAGGCGGGAAGAACACCCGGCUGGAGCCGGCCCCGCUCAGGCCGCUCUGCUGCCGGAGGGAGGCUGUCAGGCCGGCUUUGCUGGGCAAGAGCUCCGCCUAAGGGAGCAGGACUGAAGUCUUUCCUGAGGCAACGCAGCAAGUGUUGUGCGAGGAGGGGAAAAGCCACCAGGGUUUCUCAUGCUCCACGUGAGAAAGAAAAGGUCUGACCGUGCUGUAGCAGAUAACUGCUCGUGAUCUUCGCCAUCACCAUCAGCAGCACCAUUUCCCCUGCAGCGUUCCUGAAGUAAACAUCUCCAUAAUAGGUGUUGCUGACACCUGCUGAGCUCACCGUGAUGAGGACAACCGAUGCUCUCCCUGACACUGGAAGAUGGCUGACAUGGGUUUUACCUGGUAAGAUAGAGGGAGAGUUAUCUGGGUUAAUCAGCUAGAGUUGUGCUCUGCUUGCCACCACCAAAAGUCAUUUUCAUGCCAUUAUUACAUUCUUUUAGGUUUGUGUGUUUUAACCCUUCAGCUUCCUCCAGAAAUAACAGUUAGCCAUAAUGGGUGGUUUUGCAGUGCACACAGAGAAACUUGGAGUAUAGUGCUUCUGUCUUCUCAUGUUCAGAAACAGAGAGCCUCUCUGGGCUCAGGAAUUUCUGAGUCUUCUUUAAAUAAGCCUUGCACGUAAAUAUCCUGUGAUUUAAUAAAGGCACUGCAGAAAAAUGUAAUCUCUCCUACUUAAUAUUUCUCUCUUCUACUCUAACUUGUCCUUUAAAUAACAGUAUGCAGCUCACAGGCAUUAAUCUGUGAGCUUCUGAACUGCAGAAAAGGACAACAGAAAUGACUGCUCACAAAUAGAGUUAUCCCCUUUUCCAGAUACCAUCAAAGUUUAUUUAUCUGAUUCACAGAUGAGACAGAGGUUAUAGUUUGUAUACCCCUGUGGGAAAAUUGUUAUUGUUUUUAUAGCAUAUCUUUUAGCUGAUUGCACAUACUGCCUCAUAAAACUGCAAGCACACACAGGAGAAGUGUUUGUAUCAGCUCUGUGAUUUCCACUCACUUGAGUGCACACCUUGUGCAAGUUCUCUAUCAGCAUGUCCCCUUCCGCAGUGUCCCAUGAUCUUCUAGAAUAAUUUGUUUUCAGUUUACCUAUCAGUAAGUGAAAAGGGGUUCUCUUUUAUGCAACUGGAAGAAUAUUGGAUAGCAGCGCACUUCUGCUCUGAGGGUUAAAAUAGUGUUACUGCUGGCUUCUGUGUGCCAGAGCAGCACCGCAGGCUGUACUUCUGCAGAGGAAGCUUAUGCAAAACGAUGAAAGGUUACAGAGAGGAGCCAAAGUGCUAAGGUUUCUAUGAUUAAUAAUCACCUACUGCCUGUUCCACAUUACCAAAUGCUACUGAACAUAAUGAUACCUUCAGCGUAAUGAAUUUCCCGCAGCUCAUCUGAAAAUCUCUUUAUCUGGAUGUGUUGGCUGUCCUCCACUUUGGCUGAGCAGAACUGUUUCGUCACUGGGAAACCACUUGAGAAUUCAAGUUGAAUGGGACAAAAGGAAAAAAACAAAAAUCCCAGAGAGCAAAUGACAGCCCAGUUUGAAAGAGACUUCAUGUAUGCAGAGAGGACCAGGCUGGCAAAAGCAAAAAUGCUGAAGCUCUGGUAUUUCUGUGUAAAAUUACAGAUGACUGUUUUGCAGGGAAGGCUUUAUAAAAAUCCAUAAUUUAUUUUUCCUUUUUUUUUAACCUUUGAAGCAGGCUUUAAAAUCAUAAUCACUGCCUUCAUAUUUCUUUUUAAGAUCCUGUAUACACCUACAGUUACUAUUUAUGUAAUAAGGAAAUAACUUCAUCUUAGUCUGUUUUUAGGUUUGAAUAUAAGGCCUUAGGAUGACCCCCACCCCCUGGAAUGUUCCCCCUGUAAAACGGUUGUGUUUGAAUGUGUGCAGCAGAAACAGGAUUUCAACAUGCCGGUAUGUUUCUGUGAAUGUUUUCCUGGAAGCAGUGAGCCUGUUUGGCUGAAUCUGUGCACAUCUCACUACACUCUAUACAUUUACUUAUUGAAUUAAUUGAAUUCAAACAAGCAUCAAUAUGAGAUCCAUGUUUAGUAAAAGUGUAAUACUAUCCUUGUGCUUUAGAGUGCGGAUUCUGUUCUAUUACAUUAUGUUACAUUCAGGUUGGCUUUAAAAAGCAGAGGCCCCUUUCGAUAUGCUAUGUGUAUGCAGCAAGAAAGCUGUAUUUUAAAAUAAAAACAAAAACAAACAAACAAAAAAAAAACAAAAAAAACCCUAAGAAUCUCAAAGGGGGGGGAUUGGGGUAAAGAGAAGCAAAGUGAGUGAAAAGUCAUUGGGCAAGCUUGGAUGAAAGCCUCCAUUCCUGUUUACCCAUGCUCCUUUCCAUCAAUAACUUCUUUUUCCUGCAUUGCCUUGGCCAAUAACCAGCUGAACUGAAGAGGUCUGAAGCUAAGCCUGUGAGUUUUUCAGCUAGAUAAUGGUUCAUGCUCUUGGUGUGCUUGCAUGCGUGGUUUGUGUAGGGGGGUUUGGGGAGUUUUUGAUUGUUUGUUUUGUAAAUAUACAAUUGCCAACCUUGCUUGAAACUUAAGAAUGGAAUUAUAUGAAUAUAUAUGUAUUUUUAAGAAUUGUCAGGCAACAGGCAUCAAAUUAUCCUCAAAUGUGAAUGGAAAGCACAUGUGAGACAAAUUUUAAUUAAAAAUGUUGAAAACCAGAAUUGGCAAUUUUUCCAAGGACAGACUGGCACUGGUAAAAAAAAAAUGCUCUGCAACCCAAUCAACAAUUUUCUGUUUUCUUGUGUCUGAUUGAGAUUUACAGUGAAGGAAGUUGCUGAAUUCAGAUGAGGAUAACCAAGAUGCUCCUUACUGGCCCCUCUUGCAGUUGAUGGAGAUUUUUUCAUGGCUGGAAGACAGCAUCAUGUGCACCACGGGGUUCAGAAUUGUCAUAUGCUAUUUUACAUCACAUCCCAAGGGUAUCAGAUAAGUUGGUUAUGAACCACAGUAAAUACUGUACAUGUGGCAAAAAGAACCAUUGUCCAUUGGAUGCAACAUUUAAACAGGAGUAUGGCCUCUAAAAAUGGCCCAAUUCUUUCUAAAUGUUCAAAAAGCUGCUCUGUAGUAUAAUUAAAUAUUAAUGCUUCACCAAAAAUACAUUUUCUAAAACUGGAAGUGCUGAUCAUCCCAAGUGUAUUUUAAAUAAUCUCUGUCCGUGUAUUUUUCACUCGAGCUGCACAUUUAGAAGUGGUUUCCAUCUUGUGGUGUUGACAUCUGGGAAUCUUUAUAACAACUUCUAUGAAUAUAGAAUCAAUAAUGUGGUUCCUCUCAGUAAUGUUCUUAUCUAGAAAGAUAUGUAGGAAGUAUUAUUCACCACGCGGUCAGCGCAGGUUCCUCAUUUUCAAACAAACUGUAGGUAAAGAGACCAUCAGAAGACAAAAAUUGAAUUACAACUCAUCUUGAAGAUGAAUUGCCCUGCCUUCCGAAGGAUUCAUUGUUUUAUCAUACGUGAAGAGGAAACAAUGAAAAUGGGAAAGGGGAGGGAGAAGUCAAUACAGAAAUACGAAGCAACUACAAAAGGUCCAGGAAUCUGGAAGCAUCCAUAUGUGGGCUGGCUUAUACCCUACUCAAAAGAAAUGGAUGUCCUGUUGAUAUGGAAAAAACUUUUCUUUUUCAGGCAGCUCUGCAGUUUAAUGCAUACUACAGAUUGGAGGGCAAGGGCCACACAGCAAAUCAGCUUUGUAGGUUCAGUGUUCUCUGACAGCCUCACCCCAAAAUGAAUUUCCAGUUUGUAAAGGGAUUUGGUAGCUUGCAUUGGUUUUGCAUGGAAAUUUAUUUUAUAAUGGAAUGCCUAGCAAGGCUUCAUUUCUUUUCUGAUCUGCUCAGAAAUAGAAUAAGAGUUUAAUACAGGGGUAAGAUAGCAGUGGUUGAAGAAUCCUUAGAAACAAUUUUUUAAAUACUUGAAUUAGUUUUGUGACACAUAAGUUGUUCAAAAGAUUUUUUAUGACAUAAGGCCUUGCAACCUCCAGGACAGAAAGGGAAAGCAUAGCAGCAUGUUCAAUACUUCUUAGUUAAAGAAGGAAUUGAAUGCCGUCUUCCUGUGGCAUGGAGGACGGAGCUAAUGAUGGAGCUGCUGGGUGUCUCAUCUCUCACGGUGUUCCUUGUCAUGCUCAGUCUGACAGAGAGGCUUUGAGAGUAUUUCCUGCAGGUGGCCCAACAUGGGAAGGAGGAAGAGGACCUCAGCAACCUUCAGUUUGUGGUGGCAAUUACACGUAAGCUUUGCUGUGUUGCUCCUUGUAAGUGAUGAGACUUGGGCAACUCUCAUCAGUGGGACCUCCAUGGCAAUGACCAAAGUGACACAUUCCUGGUGUGACAGCUGAACAGAAAUGUUUUAGACUUGCAUUAAAAAGACAGCAAGGACUUACCUACCCAGAGGGGCAGUAUUUUGGUACCUGAGAUAAUUAGCAGACUCUCUCAAAGCUCAUUAUGAGCAAAUCAGGUUACCUUCACCACAGAUGAGGCUCAAGGUUUAGUGCUAGGUCCAGGGAUUUUCCUAUGGGCAGGUGUGAGCCAGGCAGCUCCCUGCCACGAGGGUGGGGAGAGGUGGGGAGGACAAAUUGCUGUGACAGAGCACUCAGGAGCUGCAAACUGCCACACUGAAGUUUGUUGUCUCAGAGCAGAGCCUGUGAGUCAGGACUGGCAGCCACCAGGUAUAGGAUAAAUCGGAGCAAUGGAAAUUAUGUGUAAAAUGCAGUGUAUGUGUACAGAAAAUCAAAAUGUGUUCUCAAAAUCAAAACUGCAUCCUCCGAUUAUAGCCAAUGCCCACACACACAGGGAUUAUUAAUUACAUCCCUGUUAAAGUGAUGGCUGCUAUGUACACUGUAUGGGGCUGCUGCAUCACGGCCUGAACCUCUGAUUGAUCA
This is a long non-coding RNA of Meleagris gallopavo (turkey), 5237 nucleotides long. RefSeq lists it as uncharacterized. NCBI's taxonomy places the organism in Eukaryota, Metazoa, Chordata, Aves, Galliformes, Phasianidae. The record is from RefSeq and is a predicted model, not a curated record.